AGGUUUCCUCAUCCGGGAAUUUCUUAUACUAAUGAAAUCACAGUUGAGGAAACUCGU
RNAcentral lists this microRNA precursor (57 nucleotides) under Sarcophilus harrisii (Tasmanian devil). RNAcentral describes it as "Sha-Mir-12466_pre stem-loop". RNAcentral also lists the same sequence under 2 other names. The record is from RNAcentral. Lineage: Eukaryota; Metazoa; Chordata; Mammalia; Dasyuromorphia; Dasyuridae.